GAUGAAGAACGCAGCGAAAUGCGAUACGUAAUGUGAAUUGCAGAAUUCAGUGAAUCAUCGAGUCUUUGAACGCACAUUGCGCCCCCUGGUAUUCCGGGGGGCAUGCCUGUCCGAGCGUCAUUGCUGCCCUCAAGCACGGCUUGUGUGUUGGGCCUCCGUCCUCCUCCCGGGGGACGGGCCCGAAAGGCAGCGGCGGCACCGCGUCCGGUCCUCGAGCGUAUGGGGCUUCGUCACCCGCUCUUGUAGGCCCGGCCGGCGCUUGCCGACACAUCAAUCUUUUUUCCAGGUUGACCUCGGAUCAGGUAGGGAUACCCGCUGAACUUAAGCAUAUCAAUAAGCGGGA
RNAcentral lists this unclassified non-coding RNA (343 nucleotides) under soil metagenome. RNAcentral's name for it is "partial contains 5.8S ribosomal RNA, internal transcribed spacer 2, and large subunit ribosomal RNA". The stretch from base 1 to 120 matches the Rfam family "5.8S ribosomal RNA", at positions 35 to 154 of the family's 154-position model. The record is from RNAcentral.